RNAcentral lists this ribosomal RNA (503 nucleotides) under uncultured bacterium. RNAcentral describes it as "bacterial SSU rRNA". It matches the Rfam family "Bacterial small subunit ribosomal RNA", at positions 29 to 525 of the family's 1533-position model. The record is from RNAcentral.
AACGAACGCUGGCGGCAGGCCUAACACAUGCAAGUCGAACGGUAACAGGUCUAGCUUGCUAGAUGCUGACGAGUGGCGGACGGGUGAGUAACGCGUGGGAAUCUGCCUUCUAGUGGGGGAUAGCCCGGAGAAAUCCGGAUUAAUACCGCAUACGCCUACGGGGAAAGGACCGGGAGUCUUCGGACCUGGCGCUAGUAGAUGAGCCCGCGUGAGAUUAGCUUGUUGGUGGGGUAAGUGGCCUACCAAGGCAACGAUCUCUAGCUGGUCUGAGAGGACGAUCAGCCACACUGGGACUGAGACACGGCCCAGACUCCUACGGGAGGCAGCAGUGAGGAAUAUUGGACAAUGGGCGAGAGCCUGAUCCAGCCAUGCCGCGUGCAGGAAGACGGCCCUAUGGGUUGUAAACUGCUUUUGUACGGGAAGAAACACCCCCUCGUGAGGGGGCGUUGACGGUACCGUAAGAAUAAGGAUCGGCUAACUACGUGCCAGCAGCCGCGGUAAAG